Passer domesticus (house sparrow) is the source of this 242-nucleotide long non-coding RNA. RefSeq lists it as uncharacterized. The record is from RefSeq and is a predicted model, not a curated record. The transcript is spliced from 3 exons. NCBI's taxonomy places the organism in Eukaryota, Metazoa, Chordata, Aves, Passeriformes, Passeridae.
GGAAGGUGGUAUUUCUUGAAGGAAGCACUCCAUCUUCGGUGUGAGCCCCUGCUGCAGGAAGGAAGGCAAAGCCAGACACGGGCACAGGCACAGCAGACUGGGAUGCUGGGAAGGAUUCUCCAUUAGCCUGGCACUCUGAAGUUGUGAAGCCCUCUGAGCAUUCUGCAGGCGUGUCUGCAGGGACGACCUCACCAACUCCUACCUUGGAUGCUGCACAAAAGGCCAGCUCCCAUGGCAGGGGU